UCUCUCCCUCCCUCUCUCUCUCUCUCUUUCUCUCAAUCCACACUCGCUAUCUCUCCAGCAUUGUCAGUUCGGACACCUUCGCACAUGCGCGCUAGACGCCCCUCCAACAUCUCAGCGCCGCCAAAAAAAGAAAUUUUUUAUACUAUCCACGGAGAAAGCAAGAAGUGGGGCUUUUAAAAUCUUUUCCAUGCUAAAGAACGGAGAAGGACAGGACUUUUGACAACUGAUCCGGGAGAAAGAAUCAUCCUGAACUUCAGGAAAUCUGCUGCCGCUCCUGCUGCUACUGAAGCUCUUGCGGCUUGUGCUUUCAGAGUGGAAAGCUGAAUAAGUAACUGCUUUCUUUCUCGAUGUUAGGUCCAGACAGUCUCAGGCAUUUAACAUCCAAGACCUCCUGCUUCCCUGAGGUCGGCUGUCACCUUCCGGCCUGCCCCACGGCUGCCCCCAUCUCCUGUUGCUGCAGCUCAGCCAGCCAGCCAGCCAUUUUCACUCAUUCGCUUAAACCCACAACCUUUGGGGGUCAAAAGAAAGAGAAGGGGGGAGGGAUUCUUCCCCCCGCCCUUGAAAAAUACAUUGUUGAGAUUUGCUUUAAUUACAGGAUUUACCAAUGAAGUGGGCACAUAGAAAUGGGGAAAUUCUAAAGGGGCCAGCUGUGUUCAAGGUAUGAAUCAAUUUCAACUACAUAUGGAUUUUCUCUUGGUACAACCUCCUUGCAUUAAACAGUUUUGUUCAAUACCUUCCAUGAGGUAUUUAUGUCCCCAAUAAUAUCUGUUGCAAAUCCUGCCAGACACUGUAAAAGAAAAUUACAAUCUUUUCAGUCUCUUUGCUGCAACAGUACAUCCUUGAUGUUCCACUUAUAGGAAAAGGAAAAGAAAAGCAAGCCCUGGGCAUGAGUUUGGCAAAGGCAGGGGAGGGGGAGAAAGAUCACUGAGAAUGUCCUGAGCAAAUAGCAAGGUUCAAGCUUAAGGGGCAUUCACCAAUGGCUUGUAAAAUACCUCUGUUUGAGGAAAUAAAAAUUCAAAGGAUCACCUGGCUAAGGAUGCCCACCAUGUCUUUCUCCAGAGCUGUGUAAUUCUGGGAGCAUGUGGAUGUAAGAUACAGGUCCCUAGAGAACUAAGUACAGGUCCCAAGAGAGACAGAUGUGUAAUGUUGAAAUGUGAGGAAAAGAAAGGGAGCAAAGGAAGGAAUUGCACAGAGCAGGAAUAAAACAACUUCCAAAAGAGAAGGUUCUGGUAAGCACCAUAUGGACACAAGUCAUCCCCUCCAGACUGAACAGGCAGGUGGGUUUGGUUUUUUUGUUUGUUGGUUUUUGUUUUUUGCUUUUUUUGCCAGUCCAAAUACAAUUCCUGUUGGUCUGUACAUCCAGAGUGUACAGUGUGCUCAUACACAGCGGAGGUGGGUGCAAAAUCACCAGGCACUUCAACAUUCUGAGUGUGGCUACCCAGAGGUUUUUGAAUGUGAGUUCACAGGCUCCCCUGGGUUUAGGUGGAGUCCUGCCUUCUCUCUGACCAGUAAGUCCCCAAAGGAAAAAGAGAAGUGGGGGAUUGAGAACCUUUAGAAAGGUAAGAGAGUCACUAGGGAGAGAAACACUAGGCUGGCUGGCAAGAUGUUCAUAGAAGCUGCCUCUGAUCAGUUUAAGGACUGAGGACCCUCACCCAGUCCAGAGGACAGAUAGGCUGCGCUUGAGGACACAACUCCUCCCGUCUGUCGGAACCUCGAGGGCCUUGUCCACUAGGAGAGAAGAAAGAGACCCCAGAGGGAGGAAGAGCUCCCAGAACAGUAGGAGGCUCUGCCUGGGACUUUGCAUUUCACCUUUUCAGCCCCAGGAAGCUUUUAAAAAAUAGUGAAAGGAAUUACUCUCCUUCCCUCUGCUGCUCUCAUUAAUUCUUUUCAUCUUAUCCCCAGGGGGUUCUAUAUCCUGGUCCACUUGAGGACAGGAGGUUAAGAGGAGUGCCAGAGAAUUUUCUAAGAAACGAAGGUACCAUGGAACCAACCCCGGGAUUAAAUAGAAGACCCACAUGUGAAGCUGCGGUGAUUGCUUCUGCUGAGAAAUUACAAACCACGUGUCGGGCCAGGGGUGGGCUGGGGGCUGUGAAGGGAAUUGGGUCGGAUAUGAAAGACUCAGGAAAAUAAAAUCGGA
Molecule: long non-coding RNA, 2137 nt
Organism: Mustela lutreola (European mink)
Lineage: Eukaryota; Metazoa; Chordata; Mammalia; Carnivora; Mustelidae
Exons: 3
Source: RefSeq, a predicted model, not a curated record